This 127-nucleotide ribosomal RNA is filed under the name Kingella kingae. Its description in RNAcentral is "partial 16S ribosomal RNA". It matches the Rfam family "Bacterial small subunit ribosomal RNA", at positions 1 to 124 of the family's 1533-position model. The record is from RNAcentral. Lineage: Bacteria; Pseudomonadati; Pseudomonadota; Betaproteobacteria; Neisseriales; Neisseriaceae.
GAACAUAAGAGUUUGAUCCUGGCUCAGAUUGAACGCUGGCGGCAUGCUUUACACAUGCAAGUCGGACGGCAGCACGAGUACUUGUACUUGGUGGCGAGUGGCGAACGGGUGAGUAAUAUAUUGGAAC